RNAcentral lists this ribosomal RNA (253 nucleotides) under uncultured bacterium. Its description in RNAcentral is "partial 16S ribosomal RNA". It matches the Rfam family "Bacterial small subunit ribosomal RNA", at positions 524 to 776 of the family's 1533-position model. The record is from RNAcentral.
UACGUAGGGUGCAAGCGUUGUCCGGAAUUAUUGGGCGUAAAGAGCUCGUAGGCGGUUUGUCGCGUCUGCUGUGAAAAUCCAGGGCUUAACCCUGGACCUGCAGUGGGUACGGGCAGACUAGAGUGCGGUAGGGGAGAUCGGAAUUCCUGGUGUAGCGGUGAAAUGCGCAGAUAUCAGGAGGAACACCGGUGGCGAAGGCGGGUCUCUGGGCAGUAACUGACGCUGAGGAGCGAAAGCGUGGGGAGCGAACAGG